Long non-coding RNA from Ictidomys tridecemlineatus (thirteen-lined ground squirrel), 3875 nucleotides. RefSeq lists it as uncharacterized. The record is from RefSeq and is a predicted model, not a curated record. NCBI's taxonomy places the organism in Eukaryota, Metazoa, Chordata, Mammalia, Rodentia, Sciuridae.
GGAGGGGUUCGCGGUGCAGAGCGAGAGCCCAGGCGUUUAACCCCUUGCAGUUCAACCGCGGGUCUGCGCUGCCCUGGAGAGGUGCUCACCGGAUCUUCUGAUGUCACGGGCUUGGGACCAUCUUACACACUAGCCUCCAGUCCUGGGCCAAUCCAAGGUGGCAGAUGUUUCACGGGUGAGGAGCCCGGACUUCAGCCAGGCAGUCCAGAUCCAGAAAGUGCCAUCUCCAUCACUUCAUGACGGAGGCCUGAAGAGAUGAGAAGGUUAGAAACAACCUCAGUGUCCAACAAAAGGGGAUUCAUGAAAUGAAUUCUAUUUCCACUCAAAGGGAUACUCUAGCCACCAUGGGCAUGCUACAGAGGAAUAAAAAUGGGGUGAAAAAUCAUGAUGCAUUCAGCAAAUGAGCUGGAUAUAAAGUGAUACGUAUCAAGUCUGAGUCCACUAAAGGGAAAGAAAGUACAGUAAAACAUGGAAGAAGAGAGGGAGACAAGGAAAAAGGGAGAAAGAAAAUGUUUACAGAGAUUAUCGCUAGGUGCGUUGUAGGGAAGUUCACCUUUUCAUUACGCAUAUUUUCUAAAACUAAGUUACUUGAACAUAAGCAUCAGAUGAACAUCUACUAUGCUUGGAACACCUCCCCCCAUCUUUCAAGACCUGGGGUGUGUUCCUCCUCAGUGUCCCCACCUAUGGGGGCUGGGGAAAGGGAGGGCUCUGGGACCUCAGGGCUCUGGCAUCCCAUGCCUCCCACGCCUCCGCCGUCCAGGGUCUUGUGCACACUCUAUGCACACACGGCCACUACACAGCAAGCACAUGGUCAUGUGGAAAUCACAGAAAGGAAAGGAGCAAUCAGCUCCAGUCCCACCCACUCAGCAUUCUGGAGCAUGACGAGUUGUGUCAUUGGACCUUCCUAAGUAAUCAUGCAUGUGAUCGAGGGGAGAAGGCCGGAGAGGUUAUAUGACUUGCCUGAAGUCACACAGCACACUAGGGGCAGAGUUGGUCUGUAUCCACAAAUAAUUAUCCUCCAGAUUAAUUCCUUAUUUAAAGGGGCUGAGUGGAGCCCCUAGGACUCUGACUCCUCCCCCCAGUCGUUAGUCCUUGGCUGUGAUCCCAGGACUCCAAGGAGACUGACACUUGGGCUCCCAUUAUGGCUUUGAUCCCUGUCUCUCUCCCAAAAUAGGGAGGUGCUGGCAAGGACCUGGGGUUGGUGUGGGAGCAGCCCUGGGGUCUCAUUUGGCAACCACACUGGAGUCUGGCUGCACCUGGCAGGGGACAGCAGGGUCCAGAGGGGACAGCAGGAGUGGGGAGGAGGGUCCGGGCAGGUGGGGCAGGAUAGCCUGGGUCCUGAGCGGGUGGUUCAGACCUCAGCUGGUUUUGCUUGCAGACCUCUGAUGGCCUCAUCGACACCCGAGGACGAGGCUUCCCUGGGGUGAGCAGGGACAGCAACAAGAGGAUGUGAUUCCACUCGGGGCACAAGGGGCCCGCAUGGAGCAGGGCUGCCGUGAGUCUCUCCCAGCGCCCCCUGAGCUCAGCCUUCAAUGCCUCGCGCAGGCUGCUGGGUAACUCUCCUGGGACACCAUCCUGGUCAGGCAUUUCGCCUGUGAAAGACCACUGAGGGCUACGGUCACCUGGAGGCUCAAGGCCAGUCAUUCUGGCCUGGAGUCUGGGCUCACAGCAGUCUCCUCCUGGGCCAGGGGGCCACCACUGUGACUCACACUAUGGACUGAGCCCCAUGGCUCUCAGGCUGCCUGACCAAAGUACACUGCUGUGGGGGUCAGGCCCCUGAACGACCAGGAACCCCCAAUCCCAGCCACUCUGUAGAAGCAGGGCUGGAGGUACCCCUUCGGGCACUCUGCAUACAGCUAUUGAAAAACAAAAAAGGACAAGAAAAAGGCCCCUGGUGUUAUUUACUGAUUUCCCUAGUGUACAUACCUCACCAUGGCCAAUUUCAAGCCGCCAACAUGAAAUUACUGAACACAGCCCUGGGUAGAGGGGCACCAUCAGCUUCCACACCCCUGCGCAUCCCAAAGUCAAGACAGGAUAACCCUAGAGAAGAGCUGCGUGACUUCAGACUUAACCUCUCUGAACCUCAGGCUUCUUGUCUGUAAAAUGGGGGCAACAAUUACAUCUACUUCAAGGCAAUAUCAUGAAAUGAAAUGUCAGAAUCUAGUAGGGCUCUGUACUGGGCACUGGGGAAUGACAGUGGGGGCAAAACAGAGGCGACCUCCCGCCUUCCUAGACCUCCUUGCAGUAGAACCCAGGCAGAGGCUAGAAGCCAGCACUCACUGUGGUCAGAAACAUUGUCGUCACCGUCCCUUCCUUUCUCUGGGCUGACCUUGGAACGUGGGAGCAGAAGCUGUCCAGGAUGCCAGAUGCCACCCACUCCAGCCUUAGGAGGUGCUCAGUCCAUUCCUCCUUCUGAUCUACAAGAACAGAAGAACAAAGUCUCUUUUCAUUGCAGCUUCUUUUCUCAGCCCUAAAAUAGCUUGGGCCUGCUAUCAGCAACCCUCCUUUCCAACUUUCUCAUUCAGAAGCAAAAGGUUUUUAAACCUGAGUAAGGAUCUGCUCCACGCUGUCACUUCUUUCAACUAAAGCCUGGGAAAGGAGCAUUGGAAAAGUCACGUCCAAGAUCAACCCAGCAAGCAGGCUCUGGUUUUGCUAGCGGCAGGCGGCAGUCCCAGGACGCUUCCCCGCUGUGCGCCCUUGGGCAAGCUGGCCUCCUCUGUGGGCCUCCGUCCCCUGGUGUGUACCAAGAGGUGACUGGCCUUAGUUCUGCUGUCGUUCCGGCUCCUAUCACUGUCCAGACUGCCCACUGCACGCUAGGCCUUGCUCUCCCUCCCUCCUCCUUGCCAAAAAAAAGAGGAAAAGAAACUUGCGUUAGGCGUCCGGGGAGGGAGCGUGGCUCGGAGCCGCCGGGCUGCGCGGGCCGUUGCCGGGUGAACCAACCUCGCACAAAUCCCACAACUGCAAAGCCCCACCUCCCCGGUAACCACAGCGACCCGGGCCACGCCUCCGGCCCCCGCAGCCCGCAGCCCGCCAAGGACCACCCCCGGCUCCCCGGGGACCCCUUCGCUCCCUGCGAUCGGCCCAGCCGGGGGCAAACGGCCGACGCCCCCACUCUGCGGAGGUGGAGACUGAGGCCCGAGGGCGGAGACGCGUCCCCGGGACCGCGCCCAUUCCCGGGGCCGCAGUCCGUCUCCGCCCGCGGCGCGCGGAGUUUCCGCGCGGGGUUUCCACGUGGGGAAGACCCAGAGCAGCGCGGGCCCUGGGGAGGGACCCCACCGCCGCGGUCCGGCCUCCCUCCCCUUGUCCAGGCCGAGAAAAUGAGGCCCGCGAGGGGCCGCGCCCGGCAGGAAGCCCCCAGCUCCUCCCAGCGCCUCACCUGCUGAGACCCGCGCGGGAGGUUUCCUGGAGUUGAGCGGCAAACAAAGGCCUCCAAUCCGCGCGCGGGGCGGGGCGCGGCGGGGCGGGGCGGCCGCCUCUUAGCUCCCUGCGGCCGACCCACGGCAGCGGGAGGCGGGGCCUGGGGCGGGGCCUCGUGAAGCUCCACCAAUCACAGGGAGGCGGCUGCUGCGGCCCGCCCCCAGGGACUGGGGACCAGGCUCGCGGCUCGGGACUGAAAAGCUCACUUGUGGUAGGCUGCUGCUUCCGACUGGAGUGCCCCGGGGAGUCCCCGAGGAGAUUAUCGCACGGAGCCACCCGGAGGAAGAAAUCACAAGCUUAUGGCUGAAAUAGGCUGCUUAAUAACUAGCAAUAAACUUUCCUGGGCCAGAGAGGGACAAUAACUGCCCGAGAUCGAGAUCGCGCAGUGACUUCAGGACAAUACUGUCCCCGCAAAGCGCACCUUGAAUAAUGGCCGUAUUAUAGGGUGUCAAACUGAA